AGAACGAACGCUGGCGGCAUGCCUAAUACAUGCAAGUCGAACGAACACUUCGGUGUUAGUGGCGCACGGGUGCGUAACGCGUGGGAAUCUGCCCUUGGGUUCGGAAUAACAGUUGGAAACGACUGCUAAUACCGGAUGAUAUCGAAAGAUCAAAGAUUUAUCGCCCAGGGAUGAGCCCGCGUAGGAUUAGCUAGUUGGUGAGGUAAAGGCUCACCAAGGCGACGAUCCUUAGCUGGUCUGAGAGGAUGAUCAGCCACACUGGGACUGAGACACGGCCCAGACUCCUACGGGAGGCAGCAGUAGGGAAUAUUGGACAAUGGGCGCAAGCCUGAUCCAGCAAUGCCGCGUGAGUGAUGAAGGCCUUAGGGUUGUAAAGCUCUUUUACCCGAGAUGGUAAUGACAGUAUCGGAAGAAUAAGCCCCGACUAACUCCGUGCCCAGGUACGCCGAC
RNAcentral lists this ribosomal RNA (450 nucleotides) under uncultured soil bacterium. RNAcentral describes it as "bacterial SSU rRNA". It matches the Rfam family "Bacterial small subunit ribosomal RNA", at positions 26 to 521 of the family's 1533-position model. The record is from RNAcentral.